Sus scrofa (pig) is the source of this 1948-nucleotide non-coding RNA. The record is from RefSeq and is a predicted model, not a curated record. NCBI's taxonomy places the organism in Eukaryota, Metazoa, Chordata, Mammalia, Artiodactyla, Suidae.
AGACCUACACCUGAGAAGCAGGCCUCCAAAACAUUUCCCUUGAAAACCAUGGGAGCUUGUAUCCAGAAGACACACCUGUAAGCAGGCUGAGAAUGUUCCCAGGGCUCUAGCACGUGAGGACUCACCUUCCCGGCCCAGCGUGGAAGCGUCAGAUCAAGCUGCGUCCAGACUUUGUGUGGAGAGGCUCUUUGAUUGUCUCAGAGUGUCGGCCUGAGGGGAGACAUCUAUUUGACAUCUUCUGAGGGGCCACUGGCAUGCCCUCAGCGGACAAACACUGGCAGGCGCCAUCUUUGCGAGCUCCAGGGCGCCGGUAUUUCUACGGGGUAGCUUUCACGCAUGCCUGCUGCCCCAGUUUUACGUCUGAUGCCUGUUUACGUCUGGUGCCCUGGGUUUUACGUUUGGCGCCACGAUUUCAGACCUGAGCCCCCGUUUUUAUGUCUGGUGCAGUUCUUUGGUGGCUGCCCGGGGAGACACCUCCACAUCCAUCACCAGGCACAGGUGGCAGUCCCACGUGUAAAUAUCCUCUAAAAGACGUUGCUUGAGAUUCUGGCUUCCAGUCGGCUUAAAUCAAGAUGCUGACUGAAAUCCUCCCCUUUGGGACACAGACCGGUCUUCUCACAUCUUCCACUACUUUGAGCCUCUAAAAAUAAAAUAGGCUGCAUGGACAAUCACCAAGGUAUGCGAGACAAUCCUGAGAGAGGACAGUGUUGCAAGAUAAGAUUUAUUUCGUGCAAGAGGCCACUCCUUCAAGACUGGGAGAGAAUGAAACAAAAGGUAUGGAAAGCACAUUUGUUACUGGAUAGCUUCGGAGGACGUGACAUUCUCCAAUCACAUCUCCCAUCAACCCAUGUCUUCUUAAGUCCAUUAGUUGGAGAAAUGAAAUUUUCAGAGAACAACAGGAACAAAGCCAUCAUACUUUUCUUCAACAUUGCGUGAUAUCAGAAACGGAAUCUUGAGUGAUUUACCUCUGCCUCCAUCGCAAGUAAUCACCCUUCACUCUGCUGGCUCCUCAUUGGCCUUGGACUAUGAGGAAGAGGAGGAAGACUAAAACAGUAGAAACUCUUAUGAAUGUAGAAGAUGUGAACUUCAAUCUGCAUAACAACCAUACCUUUGGCUGUUGUGUUUUGCCUGACAACCUGCAUGACUGGCCUUCCUCUCCCUCCAUCCUCUAUCUCAACAUCUACUUUUGUCUUUAGCUUGAGGUGGUAUUUAAGUUGAUGGCUUAGCCCAUUUCCUUGAGGGAAUUCCUCAGCUUGCUGGGAUAUCUCCUAUGUGUACAGGAGGUAUAAAUGUUAUUAAACUUCUGUUCGUUGUUCUCUCGUUAAUCUUUUGACCCAGUGGAACUCAGCCUAGAACCUAAAGGGUAAAGAGAAAAUUGUCCCUCCCCUAUAAUCUAUAGGAAUGGCUUUGGAUAAAAAAAAAGAAAUCAUUUUGGUUUAUUUAACAUUCAUUGUAAAUGAAGCUUUCAAAUUACCCCUUACAUUGUUCUUUGAUAUUUGUGACUUUAAAAUAAACUAGGUUCUUAGUUGUGGCUAUCUCAUUAUGUUUCCCUAAAUGUGAAAGUUGAAGAUUUCUUUCUAAAAAAUUCUAGUGGACCAAAAUAUAGGAGAUUGAUGCUGACUUCUAGAGUCAGACCUACAUGGGCUAAUUUGCUUGGUUUGAGAUACUCUCCAACACACUUUGGAUUCAAACUUGAUUUCUGGGAUUAAAAUCCAUAAUUUUAACAGCACUGUGUAGUGGAUAUACUUGUGGAAAGUCUUCCUCAUUGUGGAAAUUACUGUUGGUAAGUAUUGAUCUGCAAAAUCAUGCUUUCUUUUGUCUGAAAUAAAAUACACUUGGCUGACAGAAAGCAUAAUUAAAGUAAUAUUAUAUAUACUCAUGUGCUAAGAUUAAGAUUGAAAUAUCUCAUAAUUUAAAAAAUAAAAGAAAUUAGAGAGGCAUCAAGACC